This 253-nucleotide ribosomal RNA is filed under the name uncultured bacterium. RNAcentral's name for it is "partial 16S ribosomal RNA". It matches the Rfam family "Bacterial small subunit ribosomal RNA", at positions 524 to 776 of the family's 1533-position model. The record is from RNAcentral.
UACGGAGGAUCCGAGCGUUAUCCGGAUUUAUUGGGUUUAAAGGGAGCGUAGAUGGGUUGUUAAGUCAGUUGUGAAAGUUUGCGGCUCAACCGUAAAAUUGCAGUUGAUACUGGAUGUCUUGAGUGCAGUUGAGGCAGGCGGAAUUCGUGGUGUAGCGGUGAAAUGCUUAGAUAUCACGAAGAACUCCGAUUGCGAAGGCAGCCUGCUAAGCUGCAACUGACAUUGAGGCUCGAAAGCGCGGGGAUCGAACAGG